AACGUAGGAGACAAACGUUAUCCGGAGUUACUGGGCGUAAAGGGCGUGUAGGCGGUUUGUUAAGUCUGGCGUGAAAGCUCUCGGCUAGACCGGGAGAGGUCGUUGGAUACUGGCGAACUAGAGGAUGGUAGAGGCGUGUGGAAUUCCGGGUGUAGUGGUGAAAUGCGUAGAGAUCCGGAGGAACACCAGUGGCGAAGGCGACACGCUGGGCCAUACCUGACGCUAAAGCGCGACAGCAUGGGGAGCAAACGGG
RNAcentral lists this ribosomal RNA (253 nucleotides) under uncultured bacterium. RNAcentral describes it as "partial 16S ribosomal RNA". It matches the Rfam family "Bacterial small subunit ribosomal RNA", at positions 524 to 776 of the family's 1533-position model. The record is from RNAcentral.